UUUGUUUUAUAAUUAGUCUGGUUAUCUCCAGAUUCAUGCAGAUCCAUCUGUCAUAUCUCUGCAUAUAAGUCAAUGUUAGUGCAUCAGAUUGCUCAAUAACUGUUGAACUUUAUAAAACUAUUAGCAGAAACCUGGGUUUUAAAAAGCCCGAGGCGCACGAGGCGCAAACAUGCCUCGGAGCCUAGGCGCAGGGCUUUAAGCGCAGGCGCGGGCUUUUCGUAGGCGAGGCGCAGUAAAGCCUAAAAAAUUCUAAUAUAUUUACCUACAUUAUAUUUUAUACCAAAAACACAACUUAAAACCACAAAUAGUACUUAAACACACAUAUACUUAAUCCAAAACACACAAAUACUUAAUCCAAAACACACAAAUACUUAAGUUUUAAAAUACGCAAGUCUAAAAGUACGAUCAAAUAUCAAACAAGUAAUCAAAAAUCAUCAUCCUCAAGUCCAUCAUCCUCAAAUGUGUCAUCCCCAUCAUCUUUGAGAGUAAAACUGAAAUUAAAAAAUAAAAUUUAUUCAAUUAUAAAUUUAUAACAUCAAUCAAAACUGAAAUUAUAAAAAACAACUUCAAAAACUGACCUACAAUAUUGAAUAUGAAAGUUGAAACUCAAAAACUUCAAAAACUGAACUACAAUAUUGAAUUUGAAAGUUGAAACUCAAAAACAACUUCAAAAACUCACCUGGAGGCUGGCGGCGGCGGCGGCGGACGGCUGGGGCUGGCGGCGGCGGCGGCGCCGGCUGGCUGGCAGCGCCGGUAGGUGAGCAAAGAGGGGGAAGACGCAGAGGAGAGAAGAGAGGAGAAAGGAGGCUGCUGCUGCGUUUUUUUUUAAUUUUAAACAAAAGUGUAACUUUAUAACCCUAACCCUAAUUCUACGUAAGGCGCGCGCCUUAGUGAAAGUGCGCCUAGGCGCGCCUUUAGCGCUUUUGUGCGCCUCUGCUGCGCCUCUUGUAGGCUGCAGCGCCUGCCCUUAAAAAGCCCACCCCCCCUGCGCCUCGCUCAAGGCGCGCGCCUGGGCGCGCCCAGGCGCGCUUUUUCAAACCCAGGCAGAAACUAGUACAUCAGGUUGCUCCACCUUGAAGAUGUCUCUGUUUGUUAAACAAAUUAUUGUCAUAUCAAUGAUCUUUUUGGAUCUUAAUCAUUUGGAUACCGAUCAGGAACAAGCCGUUUCUGACCUUCACUACGUG
This 1184-nucleotide long non-coding RNA is filed under the name Salvia miltiorrhiza (redroot sage). Its description in RNAcentral is "long non-coding RNA (SMIL_LNC006611)". The record is from RNAcentral. Lineage: Eukaryota; Viridiplantae; Streptophyta; Magnoliopsida; Lamiales; Lamiaceae.